UGGGGAAUAUUGGACAAUGGGCGCAAGCCUGAUCCAGCAAUGCCGCGUGUGUGAAGAAGUCUUCGGAUUGUAAAGCACUUUCGGCGGGGACGAUGAUGACGGUACCCGCAGAAGAAGCCCCGGCUAACUUCGUGC
Molecule: ribosomal RNA, 135 nt
Filed under: uncultured bacterium
Lineage: Bacteria
Description: partial 16S ribosomal RNA
Rfam family: Bacterial small subunit ribosomal RNA
Source: RNAcentral